Molecule: ribosomal RNA, 159 nt
Filed under: uncultured bacterium
Lineage: Bacteria
Description: partial 16S ribosomal RNA
Source: RNAcentral
UGGGGGAAGGUGAAGCAGCAACGCCGCGUGAGUGAUGAAGGCCUUCGGGUGUAAAGCUGCUUUUUUGGGGAAGAAAGGGGGCUUUGCUAAUACCACUUUUGCUUGACGGUACCCUCGGAGGAAGCCCGGGCUAACUCCUUGCCACCGGCCCCGGUAUUA